This 509-nucleotide long non-coding RNA is filed under the name Marmota monax (woodchuck). The record is from RNAcentral. Lineage: Eukaryota; Metazoa; Chordata; Mammalia; Rodentia; Sciuridae.
GUCCCGGGGAGACCCGGACUCGCGUGUGGGCUCGUGCGCGGGAGGAGCUGCGGGAUUGGGGAGCCGCCAGCUUUUUCUCAUUUUCCCCCGUGGCAUACUUAAUUGCCCGGAAUUCCUACAUGUUUGCGAAGGAAGGUCUCAAAUCCACAAUCUUCCAGUGCUUCUUAGGGCUGGCUGCCAGUCAAUCUCUGAUUUACCAGGUGCUUCUCCACGAAGCCAGACUCCUUGGAGAGGGGGUCUUCCGCUUCAACACGGUUGGGGUUGAGGUGGAAGAGGACACAUUGAUACUGUCCUUAGACUGUUACUACACCUCGUUUUUAAAAACGAAGUGAUUGACAUAAGUGACCACCUGGAAGUAUUGGUGAAAAAGCCCUAACCGUAUGGUUUGCAAGCAUACAAAGGCAGAAGAGGGCUUUUCUUUUGUAGGGAGUAGGAAAGAAGAGUAGGAAAAGUUAGGGGAGAGGAGAACUUUCCCCCUGAGGUCCGCCUGUGCUUGGGUAACGCUAAAG